AAAACUCCUACCUGAUCUUAUUUGAUAUGAGCAGAAAUUGAUCCAUGUCAUGAGAGCCUGCAUCGAUACCUCGUUUUAUGUUAGGAGACUGUUUGGAUGCUCCAUGAUUUGCAAUGGACUGGGUGUGGUUCCAGUUUCCCACCCAGCCCAAACGCAAGUGGGUUUAGUUCUGCUGAAACUGCACAAACAGUUGCAAUUUCUAGGGACUUCCAAUUGGGUAGUUAGACGUGCAUUCUCUUCUGUUUUCCUUGCUUUGUUUACGGUUUGUAAUUCAUCGUUUCUUAAAACUCACUUAUACACA
Magnolia sinica is the source of this 301-nucleotide long non-coding RNA. RefSeq lists it as uncharacterized. The transcript is spliced from 2 exons. The record is from RefSeq and is a predicted model, not a curated record. Lineage: Eukaryota; Viridiplantae; Streptophyta; Magnoliopsida; Magnoliales; Magnoliaceae.